CGCUGGCGGCACGCCUUAUACAUGCAAGUCGAACGAAGUAGCAAUACUUAGUGGCAGACGGGUGAGUAACAUGUAGGUAUCUUCCCUUUGGUGAGGAAUAACACGAGGAAACUUGUGCUAAUACCUCAUAAGUCUUUACGGAGAAAGCUUUAUGCGCCAUUGGAUGAGCCUGCACUUGAUUAGUUUGUUGGUGGGGUAAUGGCCUACCAAGACUGUGAUCAAUAGCUGAUCUGAGAGGAUGAUCAGCCACAUUGGGACUGAGACACGGCCCAAACUCCUACGGGAGGCAGCAGUAGGGAAUAUUGCACAAUGGAGGAAACUCUGAUGCAGCGAUGCCGCGUGAGUGAAGAAGGCCUUUGGGUUGUAAAGCUCUUUCGUCGGGGAAGAAAAUGACUGUACCCGAAUAAGAAGGUCCGGCUAACUUCGUGCCAGCAGCCGCGGUAAUACGAAGGGACCUAGCGUAGUUCGGAAUUACUGGGCUUAAAGAGUUCGUAGGUUGUUAAAAAAGUUGGUGGUGAAAUCCCAGAGCUCAACUCUGGAACUGCCAUCAAAACUUUUUAGCUAGAGUAUGAUAGAGGAAAGCAGAAUUUCUAGUGUAGAGGUGAAAUUCGUAGAUAUUAGAAAGAAUACCAAUUGCGAAGGCAGCUUUCUGGAUCAUUACUGACGCUGAGGAACGAAAGCAUGGGUAGCGAAGAGGAUUAGAUACCCUCGUAGUCCAUGCCGUAAACGAUGUGUGUUAGACGUUGGAAAUUUAUUUUCAGUGUCGCAGCGAAAGCAGUAAACACACCGCCUGGGGAGUACGACCGCAA
RNAcentral lists this ribosomal RNA (809 nucleotides) under uncultured Pelagibacteraceae bacterium. RNAcentral's name for it is "bacterial SSU rRNA". It matches the Rfam family "Bacterial small subunit ribosomal RNA", at positions 34 to 891 of the family's 1533-position model. Lineage: Bacteria; Pseudomonadati; Pseudomonadota; Alphaproteobacteria; Candidatus Pelagibacterales; Candidatus Pelagibacteraceae. The record is from RNAcentral.